CUACGGAGGGGGCUAGCGUUGUUCGGAAUUACUGGGCGUAAAGCGUACGUAGGCGGACUGAUCAGUUGGGGGUGAAAUCCCAGGGCUUAACCCUGGAACUGCCUUCAAUACUGUCAGUCUUGAGUUUGGGAGAGGUGAGUGGAAUUCCUAGUGUAGAGGUGAAAUUCAUAGAUAUUAGGAGGAACACCAGUGGCGAAGGCGGCUCACUGGCCCAUUACUGACGCUGAGGUACGAAAGCGUGGGGAGCAAACAGGAUUAGAAACCCUUGUAGUCC
Molecule: ribosomal RNA, 274 nt
Filed under: uncultured bacterium
Lineage: Bacteria
Description: partial 16S ribosomal RNA
Rfam family: Bacterial small subunit ribosomal RNA
Source: RNAcentral